AAAUCAUUGAUCUUGCCAAUCUUAUUCAUUCUUUACAUGAAGAAACUAAGGUCUAGAGACACAAAGUGCUUUAUCAACGACAUCACUGGCCUUUCCAUAUACCCACCCUUUGCUUACCUCUCAUUGUUAUGCGUUGUUUAUCUUGUUGCUUCUCUUGUAAAAAGAUUGGCAUUUUUUCCUCUCAAGGCAAAACACCAAAAAUCCCGGGAGUUUUGGAAAGAGAAGAAACACAAAUCCUAGUCAUCCUCAGCUACUUAAAUGAAAGCAAGUUUGGCAGGAAAACGUAUAAAUGAAAAAUGCCAAAACCCUAACUUCAAAUUUAGGUUUAGAUUCCAAGAACUUCUCAACUUGACUCUUAAAAGAAUUGCUUGUAAUCCUAUCAUUCCAUCUGCCAGGCUUAUGAUGGCAAUGGUACGAGCAAUAAAAUAGUCAUAGGGUAUGCGAGGGAAAAGAGAAUUCAUAUGAAAAUCCAACAGCCUGGUUCUAGAUAAUUGGGAGUUGACUGUAAACACCUCCACCGCCAUACAGCAACUUUGGCCCUUGGAUAAAAACAUUUUCAUGGCAAAUCGUUUCACUUUAGGAAAAUUGUAUCUACUUUCAACAACUGGAGGGUUGUUUCCCCCACAUGAUUUUCAGGCUAGUAAAAAAUGUGAAUAAUGAUUAUGUGCAGCACAGAAAAUACAAUUUCUGUUUGGCACAGGAUUAGGUACUCGUGGCAUUGAAUGCCUACUUUAUCAAGUUUGUCUUCAUUAUUCUGUGAAGAAACUCCUACUCCAUCUCCUGCUCCUGAGAAUGAAACUCCAUACUCCAUUACUUCCUUUCCUUCAUCAUAAUAAAACUGCUGUUAAAGGGCAGUCACAUAUUUAAACUAAAUUAAACCUUUUUAAAAUAUUGAAUAGUGAGCACUUGAUAUUCCCCAAAGCUAUGUUUCUAAAAUCUUCACUAAUGUUCAAAUUGUGGGGUAUUAUUUGAUGGUAAAAGUAAAUUUAGAACUGGCUUGUAAAUGUGUUUUGUUGGGCCUUCAGAGGGCUGACAUUAAAAAAAAAAAAA
This 1050-nucleotide long non-coding RNA is filed under the name Canis lupus familiaris (dog). RNAcentral describes it as "lncRNA (ENSCAFG00000055388.1, ENSCAFG00845017419.1)". Lineage: Eukaryota; Metazoa; Chordata; Mammalia; Carnivora; Canidae. The record is from RNAcentral.